Molecule: non-coding RNA, 65 nt
Filed under: Enterobacter cloacae
Lineage: Bacteria; Pseudomonadati; Pseudomonadota; Gammaproteobacteria; Enterobacterales; Enterobacteriaceae
Also listed under: 2 other names
Source: RNAcentral
AAAGCACGACAUUGCUCACAUUGCUUCCAGUAUUACUUUAGCCAGCUUCUAGCUGGCUUUUUUUU